CGCGCCCAGGCUCCCGCCCCUGGCCUCCUUACCAGCCACUUGUCGCCCAGCUGCGAACUGGAGCGGGAGGCGGCGGCCGAAGGGCCCAGGACAGCCCCGGGAGGGCGGCGAGGCGGAGCAGGAGCGCCCCGGCUCCGGCCACAUUCUCAGAGUCAGGAAAAGGGGCGAGAGGCCACAUGUCUCCCUCUCGCCAAACUGAAAACGAAACGGCGCUCCAGCAGAUUGGGUGGAAAGAGCUGUGUCUGUUUUCUCUGUUUUUCACGCUAGAAAGGGCUUGUAAACAUUGUUCCUUUUAAAAUGACCUACCCCGGGAGGUUUGGGCACACUUCUGUCCUGGGGUCAUCGUUCGUAGGUGGCUUCGGACCUGGGACUUUGAUUUCCUGUAUCUGCACAUUGUCGUUUUAUACACAAUUGCCAAGCGGAUCCUGUUACAGUGCAAAGAAGAAAUGGCAAACGGAUAACAGCUACUGUGCCUAGAAGAUGGUUCUGCCCUGAUGUUUCCUGGAAUAAUGCUGAGGACUGCCUUUCGGGUAGCCUCCCUAUUCAGUUCACUUCAUCUCGGAAAUACCUGACCCCUGCCUUGGAUCCAGCGGCCCUCCUGAGAGCUGAGGAAGGAGGAAAUCCUACAUGUCUGCUCCCGGAGCUGCCACAACCCAUCUUCCCACAACUCGGAACUUGGAAAAAGGAACCCAGGACACGACUUUGCUUUUCUUUUGGACCUAGUUGGUGAUUAUACUCUGUCUCCCAUGGAGACCACGUCUUGCAUCCUUCCUUCUAUAUGGGAUUUAGGAUAGAAAUUAAAAAGAAAACAUAUUAUUUUGAGUCUUGAUUUGGAGAAAGGUAGUAUUCAGGAGGAAGUAGGCUAUGAUACACAUAGAAAAUUUGAGGACAGUGUUACUUAACAAGGACAUUUCUGUCUCUGCAGAAGUCACAGCUUGGAGGAAACCAGUUUGCACUGUUUGAGGAGGAAUUUGGCCACCGAACCACUGAUACUUUCCCAAAGGUUUGGCAGAAAUUGUUUUUUGAGUGGCUCACCAGAGUACCUAGAAGAAUCAGCAUGGAAUUAGAGGACAGUGGCCUACCCUAAAUAAAGACAUGAGUGAUGUGUAAAGUCUAGUGUCAAUUUAUUCAGAAAAUAUCAAAAUUAUUCUGGGAGCUAUGGGUCAAAGUUGAUAGGCACAAACAAACAAAA
Molecule: long non-coding RNA, 1192 nt
Filed under: Pan troglodytes (chimpanzee)
Lineage: Eukaryota; Metazoa; Chordata; Mammalia; Primates; Hominidae
Description: long non-coding RNA NONPTRT001594
Source: RNAcentral